Molecule: long non-coding RNA, 1121 nt
Organism: Brassica oleracea var. oleracea
Lineage: Eukaryota; Viridiplantae; Streptophyta; Magnoliopsida; Brassicales; Brassicaceae
Exons: 3
Source: RefSeq, a predicted model, not a curated record
UUUCGACUUGGCGCUUCUGUAGAACCGAAAAUUUCGCACUCUUCACUCCGUCCCUCCAAAGGCACACGCGCUCACCAAACAGUUCCUUCUCCUCCGCGUGCUUCUCUCUCUCUCUCUCUCACCGUCGAUCAUAACAAGGAGCUUCGAAGGUUAGGUUUAUCUUUCUCCGUUAGCGAAACGAUUAACUUUCUAGAGAAUUCCGAAGGUUUUCACGAGGAGGAUUUGGUUUGUUUCUCCGUCGUUUCGACUCUACAAUUUGGCGUUAUGAUUUUUUCAAUUUGACGUACGAGUUAGCGAAUUUGUUUCGUAUCGAAUUCGGGGAUGAAGAUAACGUUUCGCAUUAGGUGUCAAUUGCGAGAGGAAUUAAUACUUGGAGGUUUGAGACGCGAAUCCGUCGUUUGGUGAAAUUAGGGUUUUGGAAUCGCAAUCUGGGUACCCGUUUAUGUUGACGAGGUAGGAAAUUGCUGAGGUAGCAUAAUCUGAAGCGGUGCAAAGUUGGUUCGGAGAUUGAGAAUGGGGGCAAAAAAGGGUGAGAUUAUAUAUAUAGUGUACAGGAGGAGGAAGAGAGCGAGCGUUGAUCAACCACCAUGUAGAGAAGACGCUGAUGAUUGUUGUACGAGUAGCGCGGGCCAGCAGAGUUAAGAGUGGUUCCGUCGAGGUUUAACGAUUCGGUUGUUGACGCACAGACGUCGCAAGGUCGAGUCGAAGGAGUCUGACGAGGUUCAUUUAGUGCUGAUUCAACUUUUUUCUCUUAUAGGGCUCAUGUCAUUUGGACGUAAGGACCUGCGAGCACAGUAUUGCACGAAUCACUAGCUGAAGAGCUUUUAUGCAAGCACUGUUUUCUUUGGCCAGAUGAAAAAUUGAAUCCAAAUUUGUUGUUACAGUUGUGGAAAUCCAGUCAGUAUUGUGGCAUUUGCAAGAGAUCAUGGCACUCUUCAGAUUGGCUAACUUGAUAGAUGUAAUACGUAUAUUGCGAUGGGUGUGAUAUAUGGGUACAUGCUGGAUGCGACAACAUUUCGAACAUACCCUUUAAGGAACUGGAGCACAGCAAUUACCAUUGCCCCUCAUUGCAGACCGCAGCAUGAGUGUGCACCGACAGUAUCAAAUGACCAGUUACCGAC